Molecule: ribosomal RNA, 274 nt
Filed under: uncultured bacterium
Lineage: Bacteria
Description: partial 16S ribosomal RNA
Rfam family: Bacterial small subunit ribosomal RNA
Source: RNAcentral
AUACGGAGGUGGUUAGCGUUGUUCGGAAUUACUGGGCGUAAAGCGCACGUAGGCGGACUGGAAAGUUGGGGGUGAAAUCCCGGGGCUCAACCCCGGAACUGCCUCCAAAACUUCCAAUCUAGAGAUCGAGAGAGGUGAGUGGAAUUCCAAGUGUAGAGGUGAAAUUCGUAGAUAUUUGGAGGAACACCAGUGGCGAAGGCGGCUCACUGGCUAGAUACUGACGCUGAGGUGCGAAAGCGUGGGGAGCAAACAGGAUUAGAAACCCUAGUAGUCC